Molecule: ribosomal RNA, 487 nt
Filed under: uncultured bacterium
Lineage: Bacteria
Description: bacterial SSU rRNA
Rfam family: Bacterial small subunit ribosomal RNA
Source: RNAcentral
CUGGCGGCGUGCUUAACACAUGCAAGUCGAACGAGGAUUAUGUUGGAGGGGCUUCGGCCUGGAAGAUGUAAUUCGAGUGGCGGACGGGUGAGUAACGCGUGAACAAUCUGUCCCGGACAGGGGAAUAACACUUGGAAACAGGUGCUAAUACCGCAUAAGACCACGCCCUCGCAUGGGGGAGGGGUAAAAGGAGCAAUCCGGUUCGGGGUGAGUUCGCGUCCGAUUAGAUAGUUGGUGAGGUAACGGCCCACCAAGUCGACGAUCGGUAGCCGACCUGAGAGGGUGAUCGGCCACAUUGGAACUGAGAGACGGUCCAAACUCCUACGGGAGGCAGCAGUGGGGAAUAUUGGGCAAUGGGCGAAAGCCCUGACCCAGCAACGCCGCGUGAGUGAAGAAGGCUUUCGGGUUGUAAAGCUCUGUUAUAGGGGACGAAGGAAGUGACGGUACCCUAUAAGGAAGCCCCGGCUAACUACGUGCCAGCAGCAGC